Long non-coding RNA from Canis lupus familiaris (dog), 438 nucleotides. RefSeq lists it as uncharacterized. The transcript has 4 exons. NCBI's taxonomy places the organism in Eukaryota, Metazoa, Chordata, Mammalia, Carnivora, Canidae. The record is from RefSeq and is a predicted model, not a curated record.
UGUGACAUCACUGAGGCAGCUCCAUUAGGGUGAAGCAGAUGGGAGCCAGCAGUCUCAUGUUACCUCUGUGACUUCUCCCCUCCUGGGCCUUUUAAGGAGAAAUUUUUCGAAGCACUGUCACUUAGGCCCAACUAGUUUAAUCCUCACAGCAUCCUUUAUGGGUAGGCAAGCUGUUAUAUGGUGAAUGGCACAGAACAUCCAAUUCAACAAAGAAGCCCUCACAUCAUUGACAAGGCCUGUGGGAAUGUAUGUGUGACCUAUGACAAGGAUCCUCUGCUGGAGCAGUCUGCCACCCACCACACUGCUGAACCUUUCUAGUGAUUUUCUACUUUAUGCGGUUUACACCAGAGGUGAUCAUUUGGUUCUGAACCAAAAUCAGAACUCUGGAUUGUUCUUCUUAUACUGCUUUAAAAGAAGGGUUCCAAACCCUGUAUUUUA